Molecule: ribosomal RNA, 378 nt
Filed under: uncultured bacterium
Lineage: Bacteria
Description: bacterial SSU rRNA
Rfam family: Bacterial small subunit ribosomal RNA
Source: RNAcentral
AUUGAACGCUGGCGGCAUGCCUUACACAUGCAAAUCGAACGGCAGCACGGGAGCAAUCCUGGUGGCGAGUGGCGAACGGGUGAGUAAUAUAUCGGAACGUACCUUUCAGUGGGGGAUAACGUAGCGAAAGUUACGCUAAUACCGCAUAUUCUGUGAGCAGGAAAGCAGGGGAUCUUCGGACCUUGCGCUGAUUGAGCGGCCGAUAUCAGAUUAGCUAGUUGGUGAGGUAAAGGCUCACCAAGGCGACGAUCUGUAGCGGGUCUGAGAGGAUGAUCCGCCACACUGGAACUGAGACACGGUCCAGACUCCUACGGAGGCAGCAGUGGGGAAUUUGGACAAUGGGGGCAACCCUGAUCCAGCCAUGCCGCGUGAGUGAAG